This 465-nucleotide ribosomal RNA is filed under the name Lactobacillus crispatus. RNAcentral describes it as "bacterial SSU rRNA". The record is from RNAcentral. Lineage: Bacteria; Bacillati; Bacillota; Bacilli; Lactobacillales; Lactobacillaceae.
ACGCGUUGGGAGCUCUCCCAUAUGGUCGACCUGCAGGCGGCCGCGAAUUCACUAGUGAUUGGAAACAGAUGCUAAUACCGGAUAAGAAAGCAGAUCGCAUGAUCAGCUUCUAAAAGGCGGCGUAAGCUGUCGCUAUGGGAUGGCCCCGCGGUGCAUUAGCUAGUUGGUAAGGUAAAGGCUUACCAAGGCGAUGAUGCAUAGUCGAGUUGAGAGACUGAUCGGCCACAUUGGGACUGAGACACGGCCCAAACUCCUACGGGAGGCAGCAGUAGGGAAUCUUCCACAAUGGAUGCAAGUCUGAUGGAGCAACGCCGCGUGAGUGAAGAAGGUUUUCGGAUCGUAAAGCUCUGUUGUUGGUGAAGAAGGAUAGAGGUAGUAACUGGCCUUUAUUUGACGGUAAUCAACCAGAAAGUCACGGCUAACUACGUGCCAGCAGCCGCGGUAAUACGAUAAUCGAAUWCCCGC